This 393-nucleotide ribosomal RNA is filed under the name uncultured Limnohabitans sp. RNAcentral describes it as "bacterial SSU rRNA". It matches the Rfam family "Bacterial small subunit ribosomal RNA", at positions 1 to 404 of the family's 1533-position model. Lineage: Bacteria; Pseudomonadati; Pseudomonadota; Betaproteobacteria; Burkholderiales; Comamonadaceae. The record is from RNAcentral.
CUCGGAGUUUGAUCCUGGCUCAGAUUGAACGCUGGCGGAAUGCUUUACACAUGCAAGUCGAACGGUAGAGGGGGCAACCCCUUGAGAGUGGCGAACGGGUGAGUAAUAUAUCGGAACGUGCCCAGUCGUGGGGGAUAACGUAGUGAAAAUUACGCUAAUACCGCAUACGAUCUAUGGAUGAAAGCGGGGGAUCGCAAGACCUUGCGCGAUUGGAGCGGCCGAUAUCAGAUUAGGUAGUUGGUGAGGUAAAGGCUCACCAAGCCGACGAUCUGUAGCUGGUCUGAGAGACGACCAGCCACACUGGAACUGAGACACGGUCCAGACUCGUACGGGGAGCAGCAGUGGGGAAUUUUGGACAUGGACGCAAGUCUGAUCCCAGCCCAUUCCGCGUGC